UUAGUGGUUGACAUUAUUAGAUAUUUUACAUAAUGCGUAGUGAGUCAUAGACACAGUUAAGGGAUUUGGGGACUUAGCAUCUGUGAUCAACUGUUAGUGGAGGUUUUUGUCCCACUGUAAAUCACCGUGGCCGUAGCUGCUACCGUAGUUAUCACAAUGAUAUACAACACAACAAAAACCAAAUCUAAAAUUUUAACUUCUGCCAUUCACAGGAUUCAGUACACCCCUGUACAAAGGACGGGGUGAGGAGCUGAGACAAACGCUGGCCUUAACUGCAGGCGAUCCAAAUGAAUGAACUAGGAGAAUUCUGGGUAACCGAGUUCUCUUGCAGCACCCCGCUCAAUGUACAAUGAAGAUUUUGGACCUCCACUGAGACGAGGCUGUCUCUGUGAGGAUCCUGAGGCAUCUAGAGAUGUUCCAGCUCCAGUUGGACUCUGCUAUACUAAGAGGAGAUGCCAGCUCCAUGUUGUCUUUGGGGACAACAAUCUCCUCAUCAAUACAACAUUGAUCAGACAGUAUAUUUAUGAUCACACCCUCCAGUGUCUCCCAUAUGAGGAUGAGGUUCCCCUUUGAGUCUGGUUCCUCUCAAGGUUUCUUCCUUUACCAUCUAAGGGAGUUGAUUUUGGCAUGGCUGAUUUUUUACAUAAUGCGUAGUGAGUCCUAGACACAGUUCGGGGAUUUGGGGAAUUUGCGUCUGUGAUCAACUGUAAGUGGAGUCCCACUGUAAAUCACUGCUUAUUUUAAAGGGACACAAGAUAUAAAUGAAAAUAACAAUGUCUUAUUAUUGUUACAGGACAGUUCAGAAUAGAUAAGCAGGAUUUAUAUACAGUGUAGACCAAUAUUUAGAGAAGGGUUUGGGUCUGUUUGUUUUUUGUUUUGGUUUUUCUUUACUUAGCCAUGUCUAAAGUCUUUCUUGUCUCUUUAUUCCUUCACUUUCUUUCUGCUUUUGUUUUUAGUUCAUCUUUAUUUAUUUUGUUUAAUUCACAUUUGUCUCACAUACGAUACAUGUCACCCCUGUACUAAAGGAGGGGACGAGGAGCUGAGACAAACGCUGGCCUUAACUGCAGUUGAACUCCUGCAGCGCCGCGCUCAAUGUGCACCGUUGUCGCCCUCUGCUGGCCGCCGGCGAUGUAGCGCGACCUAUUAAGUUAUAGGAACAUAACCUCCAAAAACCAAACUCAGCAAUGCUUCACUGAUUAAUGUCGACAUAAAAUACUUUUUAUUUCAUAUUUAAAAGAAAGUUGCUGUCUUUCGCUUAUAAUAAAUCCAAUAAAUUCCUUAAUAAUAGGUUCUAAGGUGACUAGAAUGGAACAAAGCAAUGCCUCCUUAUAAUGAAGAGAUUUAUGUACUGUUUGGGUUUGAUGGUCACUGGAUCAGACUCGAUCAGUGUCUGACUGCAGGAAUCUGAAAUAGAAGAAUAUUAAAUUAAAAAAUAAGAAAAAUUAAAAAUUGUUAAUCUCUUUCUCUAUAUGAAGUAAAAAAUAAUAUUAACAUUGAAUGAAAAUUGCUAGAGUAAAGUAACACAAAACUCUGCCUAGUCCCAUCUCAAAGAAUUAAAAUGAUUCCUGCUGCUGUAAAUGAACACAAACUGCUGCUGUGUUAAUAAAUGGUUCAAACACAGGAUUUUAUUUGCAUGACACACCCACUAGAGAUAUAAAAAAGUUUCACAUCGAAAUAACCAUGCAGAGAAAAAGCUUGCUGUCAAGUCAUUAACUGCUAUUUUUGUAGUAUUUGCUAACAUGACCUUACACUCCUUCUGCUAAUUGCAAAUAAAUACAUUUAGCAUUUA
Tachysurus fulvidraco (yellow catfish) is the source of this 1789-nucleotide long non-coding RNA. RefSeq lists it as uncharacterized. The transcript is spliced from 2 exons. Lineage: Eukaryota; Metazoa; Chordata; Actinopteri; Siluriformes; Bagridae. The record is from RefSeq and is a predicted model, not a curated record.